Small nucleolar RNA from Humulus lupulus (European hop), 81 nucleotides. RefSeq annotates it as small nucleolar RNA snoR64a. The transcript has a single exon. NCBI's taxonomy places the organism in Eukaryota, Viridiplantae, Streptophyta, Magnoliopsida, Rosales, Cannabaceae. The record is from RefSeq and is a predicted model, not a curated record.
UGAAUCUUUAAAGUGGCUGAAUGCUUAGAUUAUUUUCUGGGCAUAUUGAAUCAUUAUUUAUUGAAUAGGAAGAUCUGAUGC